Delphinapterus leucas (beluga whale) is the source of this 2884-nucleotide non-coding RNA. The record is from RefSeq and is a predicted model, not a curated record. Lineage: Eukaryota; Metazoa; Chordata; Mammalia; Artiodactyla; Monodontidae.
GCUCUGCGGCACGUGGGAUCGGGGCACGAACCCGCGUCCCCUGCAUCGUCAGGCGGACUCUCAACCACUGCACCACCAGGGAAGCCCCUUCCUAAGUUUUGUACACUCAUAUUUGCAGUUGCCAGCAUCUUUUGAACACUCUUCCGACGUUUGGGGAAUUUCCUCCAUUUUGAGGCCUGCUUCCUAAGGCACAAGCCAAAACUUAGCCUCCGAGAUGGAGAUGCAGGGCAGGGCCAGGCCGGAGGAAAUGCUCCAUCGCUGUUCUUGACUGCACGCUCCUGGAGGGCCAGGCCUCAUGUUCAGCGGGAGGGAUAGUGUUGAGGCCGGAAUGUAGAUGCAGGCCACUGUUCCCUCACUAUGUUAAGUGGCAAAGCAGGUAGGGGACAAUUCCAUCCACUACUAUCCGGAGGAGCUCCCUCAGGGGCGGUUAUGUUCUUGGCUGGAACUCAGAGAACCAGGGCAGCAGGCUGGGCGAAGGCCUCCACAGGUCAGGGCUGUGUUCCCAGGGAUCACAGGUGUCCAGGAGGUGGCGGGGCAAUGGGUUUCUCACAGUGUGACCCAGUGGGUGAGGAGCCAGUUGGUGACGUGAAUGCGUACAGUCUCCUGGAUGACGUAAAUUCUCAGUCAAAGCUGCCUGCACUGUCUCAACAAGGGCGUGGCUGCCGGACGGUGCCUCAGUCCCCAGGCUCCCUGACGCUCCAGAACACAGAAGCCUUGGCUCUGUGGUGGCUUCCAGGUCCUGUGUGGUGGAGAAUGGAGCGAAAGCCCUGGAAAAGGAAGUCAACUGGGAGGACGAACUGAAAUCUCUUGUGCACAGGCAGGAAGGAGGGCGCUGCAGAACAGUUAAGAUACGAGAACAUAAACAUCUAGGUGCAAGGGAGGGUCUGGGAACAGAGAGGAGGUCCCCGGCCCUGCGUCUGAAGCGUGCCCGAAGCCAGUCGGGAGGGCGAAUUGUGCCGCGCUCCCUGCACGUGGCGCCGCAGUAUAGACACAGGUCGCUACAACACUCCCUGCCCGUGUGACUUGUUGAGAAGAAAAGCGGCCCAUAGGGACGGGCGUCCAAGAACUCUGCUGCUGCCCAUGCAACUCAUUCCUUGAAGUUUAUUCUACCUGGAAUGAAACAAACCAAAAAACAAACUAAACGCCACUCUCUGGGCUCCGUCCCAGCACCGCCACCACUCCCGGGCGCCUCCUAAAACGUGCUGCUAGGAAUCCAGAGGUUUACGAGCGUGUUUGUUUCCCGCGCCCGCCCACCUCGACACCGAAAGUAGAGUGGCUGGGCCCGAGUUCCGCCUAAGCGACCGGAGGGUCGCCGCCGCCGCCGCCGCCGAAAGCGCGCCGAGCUCGGCUGCAGUUGCCCUGGCGGCCGCGGCGGGCCAGGGGCAACAGUGAGCUGCGGCGGCGUUAAAAGGAGGCUCCGGCUGGCAGGCAGCUCCAUCUCGGGCUGGGAAAACUAAGGGAGCGGCGGCGAAGGGCCCCCGGCCUUCUUAAGGGCGGGCGCGAGGAGGACGGUGCAGUACGACUUGUAGGAAGAGCGAAGAGGAGAUCGUGCGCCUGCACCAGGAUGGCCGAGUGGUUAAGGCGUUGGACUUAAGAUCCAAUGGACAUAUGUCCGCGUGGGUUCGAACCCCACUCCUGGUUUUGAUGUCUCUUGAACAACUUAUCAGAGUGCUUGGCAGAGAAGCAAUGAUUGCACUGGGUCCUUACUGAAGUGAGAUGGAAACUGCCUAGCAGAGUGUCUCUAUACAUUGUAUGCACUAUAUAAAUACUUGUUGAAUAAAUGAACAACGUUGAAGUCCACUGAGUAUAUUUCACAGUUCAUUCUAUUUAUUGUACACAAAUUAAUCUUCAUUUAGGAUAUGUGUUUUAAAGUGUACUCAGGAUUUGUUUUAAUCAGGUAUGGUAAGACACUCAGAUACAGAAAUGACUGUCAUGAAGGAAGAAUUUUUUUAUACUCACAGAUUCCCUGGAAACAAGAGCCACGGCACACCAUGCAGGGCCACAUAGGGAAGAAUUAGGGUCAGUCAGGAGGCAGAGGGAGCAAGGAGAAAGCAUGGGCAAGAACUUUUAUUGUGGUUUUCACAGGAAAGAAUGGGCAAAGCAGGGUAAACAGUCUUAGGAUUGGCUACUUUGAAUAAUUUCAGGGGGCUCUGGAGUGUAGGGGCUGCCCUGAGUAUUCUGGUACUUCUAGGAAUUAUCUAACCCUGGGAGAAGCAGUCCCUCCCUGGUCAGCAAGGCCCCAGAUGUCAGAGCAUCAAGAAUACAGAAAGUAAGAAAGUAUAGUUAGUAUGGUAUGGGUUCAGGCAUGCUCACACUUUUUUUUCCCUUCUCUUCCUCCUUCAGCUAAGGUAGACCUUACUCAUUAGGAGAAUCAAGAUUCAGAAGCCCAAAGAGACAAACACUUAAGUAGUUUUUGAAUCAUUUCUAUCUGGAUAAACUAUAUAAUAUACCUGUGCAAUUCAAGUCUCAAAUUUAUCUUUCGGUUUAGGUUGUAUUUUCCGUCAUUUUAUUCAUUACUAUAGUGUAAUGAGGCUAGCAGUUCUGAAUAAGGUAACUUUUAAAAUUGCAUUGGAAAGAUGGAUUACUAAAAAGAGUGUUGCCUAUUCAUCUCAAUUCCACAAUCUCCUUUAAAUAUAAACAUAGGAGUAUGUGUAUUUGUAAAAUAUGCAGUGUAGGUCCUAAGUGGCAACAUAGAACUGCAAUUAGGAGUCAGAUGGCCCAAGUUUUUUUUUUAAUAUAUAAGUUUCAGGCGUACACCAUUAUAAUUUGACAUAUGUAUGCACUAUGAAGUGAUCCCCACCACAUGUGUAGUUACCAUCCAUCACCAUACAGUUGACCCCCUUCAUCCGUUUUGCCCACCACCCGCCAUGCCCCUUCCUCUCUG